Molecule: long non-coding RNA, 1478 nt
Organism: Oncorhynchus nerka (sockeye salmon)
Lineage: Eukaryota; Metazoa; Chordata; Actinopteri; Salmoniformes; Salmonidae
Exons: 4
Source: RefSeq, a predicted model, not a curated record
UAAUGUAAGAACUGCUGGAUAAGAACUGUUAAUUCUAGAACGAGGAAGACAACACAUCAAGAGAGGUUUCAGUUGCAGAUUCUUCUCAGUUUGACUUGCAUAGCCAGACUUGUGGACAAAAGUAAAGGAAACAUCUUUUUGGGGGCUCAUUUGAAGUCAGUUAAUUGAAUUAGGGAGUGAAGAGAGAGACAUGGAGGCUGUUUUUGGAUUGUUGGUGAUGAUAGCAGGAGUGUCUCAUGGCAUGUUGACCUCCUCCUGUGAUGCUAGAGAGGAUGGAUGUCAGUGUUAUGGAGCCCUGGGAGGAACUGUCUAUCUCCAGCUGACUGAUACCACAGUAUCUGAACUCACAUUUAAAAAAGAUCCCACUGGUGUAACUACAGAGAUACUCCGAAUGAGAAGAAACAAAAUGAUCAUCGCUGACUCCAUUAAAGCUAGAUCAGAGUUCUUCAUGAACAACAAGACAUUUAGGAUGGAUAACACCGAAAGGACGGAUUCUGAUGAAUACCUCUUAGAAACAUUUCAUUCUAAUGGAAGUUCAAUGGCCACCAGAAGACUACACCUGUUCAUUGAAGGACCUGGGUUCAAUGCGUUUGUUUAUUUCCAAUUUGCUGAAGUCUUCAUUCUGCUGGCAAUCUGUCUGGGAUCAUACUGUUUCUACAAGAAGAAGACUUGUCCUCAAGAGCAAUUAAGCAGAGGAAUAUGAAGUCUCUCAGGUGGAUCACGGUGGGACUCAGAGGAGGGUGUUGAUGUCCUAAGAGUUGCUAUGGGGAUCAACCAGGCUUUGAGAUUACCUUAUGAAAUAAUGACGAAUGGUGAUAUAAUACUGCUUAUCACUCUUUUAAUCUUGAAACUCAAAGCACAGUAAUGUAUUAAAACCAAAGAAAUACCAUUCUAUUCUUUUGACCUUUAUUUUCUUAUUUUCAUUUAUGUUCCUUCAGACAUGCCCUUAACAAAAUGAAUAGUGAAUGAUCUAUGUGAUGGUGUUUAUUUAAUCGAUUUUAACUCUUGAAUUGAAGUGUUUUAGUGCUGUUUCUUUUGUUCAUACUGUUACAUAAACAAAUGAAAAAGUUGUUUUUGAAAAUAUAUAUUUUUUCAUAUUCUAAUGUUACCUUCUUAAGCACAAACAAAUCAUUAUUUUACCAAUAGCAUACAUCACAUGUAUUUAUUAGACUGUUAGAAUGUUGACAUCUGAAAGACUCAUCAUUGGCUUGAAGGGGGUCCCUCUAGGCUUUUCUAGUGUUAAGUAUCAUUUAAAAUGUUAUAGGAGUGUAUAUUACAGUGUAUUGAUUGCAUUAAAGGGUUUAUUUUUUUGAUGCUUGUGGUAUACAGUAACAGAAAUGUUCGAGAGUUGAAAGGCUUUUUAAUUGGGGAACGGUAAGAUAUGCUUUCAUUGUUAUUGUAACUUGAUCAUGUUUGAUGUAUUGGUGUGAUUUUAAUGCAUAGAAAUAAAAGCAAAAAAACUUUUAAAACAUUGGAAA